CACGGGCGGCAGAGAUUGACAGUCACGGAUAGAGCAUCCUGCCAACUUCUCCGUCAGCCGUGCCA
Astatotilapia calliptera (eastern happy) is the source of this 65-nucleotide microRNA precursor. NCBI's taxonomy places the organism in Eukaryota, Metazoa, Chordata, Actinopteri, Cichliformes, Cichlidae. The record is from Ensembl.